RNAcentral lists this ribosomal RNA (253 nucleotides) under uncultured bacterium. Its description in RNAcentral is "partial 16S ribosomal RNA". It matches the Rfam family "Bacterial small subunit ribosomal RNA", at positions 524 to 776 of the family's 1533-position model. The record is from RNAcentral.
GACAGAGGGUGCGAACGUUGUUCGGAAUUACUGGGCGUAAAGAGCGUGUAGGCGGCUUGGCAAGUCCGCUGUGAAAACUCGAGGCUCAACCUCGAGACGUCGGUGGAAACUGCCUGGCUAGAGUCCGGAAGAGGAGUGUGGAAUUCCUGGUGUAGCGGUGAAAUGCGCAGAUAUCAGGAAGAACACCUAUGGCGAAGGCAGCACUCUGGGACGGUACUGACGCUGAGACGCGAAAGCGUGGGGAGCGAACAGG